Molecule: ribosomal RNA, 468 nt
Filed under: uncultured bacterium
Lineage: Bacteria
Description: partial 16S ribosomal RNA
Rfam family: Bacterial small subunit ribosomal RNA
Source: RNAcentral
GACGAACGCUGGCGGCGUGCUUAACACAUGCAAGUCGAACGGAAAGGCCCUGCUUUUGUGCGGUGCUCGAGUGGCGAACGGGUGAGUAACACGUGUGUAACCUGCCCUUGACUUUGGGAUAACUUCAGGAAACUGGGGCUAAUACCGGAUAGGAGCUCCUGCUGCAUGGUGGGGGUUGGAAAGUUUCGGCGGUUGGGGAUGGACUCGCGGCUUAUCAGCUUGUUGGUGGGGUAGUGGCUUACCAAGGCUUUGACGGGUAGCCGGCCUGAGAGGGUGACCGGCCACAUUGGGACUGAGAUACGGCGCAGACUCCUACGGGAGGCAGCAGUGGGGAAUAUUGCACAAUGGGCGGAAGCCUGAUGCAGCAACGCCGCGUGCGGGAUGACGGCCUUCGGGUUGUGAACCGCUUUCGCCUGUGACGAAGCGUGAGUGACGGUAAUGGGUAAAGAAGCACCGGCUAACUACGUG